UACGGAGGGGGCUAGCGUUGUUCGGAAUUACUGGGCGUAAAGCGCACGUAGGCGGCUUUGUAAGUUAGAGGUGAAAGCCCGGAGCUCAACUUCGGAAUUGCCUUUAAGACUGCAUCGCUUGAAUCAUGGAGAGGUCAGUGGAAUUCCGAGUGUAGAGGCGAAACUCGUAGAUAUUCGGAAGAACACCAGUGGCGAAGGCGACUGACUGGACAUGUAUUGACGCUGAGGUGCGAAAGCGUGGGGAGCAAAC
Molecule: ribosomal RNA, 250 nt
Filed under: uncultured prokaryote
Description: partial 16S ribosomal RNA
Rfam family: Bacterial small subunit ribosomal RNA
Source: RNAcentral